This 253-nucleotide ribosomal RNA is filed under the name uncultured bacterium. RNAcentral describes it as "partial 16S ribosomal RNA". It matches the Rfam family "Bacterial small subunit ribosomal RNA", at positions 524 to 776 of the family's 1533-position model. The record is from RNAcentral.
UACGUAGGGUGCAAGCGUUAAUCGGAAUUACUGGGCGUAAAGGGCGCGCAGGCGGCAUGGCAAGUCGAGUGUGAAAUCCCCCGGCUUAACUGGGGAAUGGCGCUCGAAACUACCGCGCUGGAGGGCGGGAGAGGGAAGUGGAACUCUCGGUGUAGGGGUGAAAUCUGUAGAUAUCGAGAGGAACACCGGUGACGAAGGCGGCUUCCUGGCCCGUACCUGACGCUGAGGCGCGAAAGCGUGGGGAGCAAACAGG